Rattus norvegicus (Norway rat) is the source of this 22212-nucleotide long non-coding RNA. RefSeq lists it as uncharacterized. Lineage: Eukaryota; Metazoa; Chordata; Mammalia; Rodentia; Muridae. The record is from RefSeq and is a predicted model, not a curated record.
CAGCUCCCGGCCACCACUGUAGAGCAAUAGAAACUUACAUAGGACACCCGUACUCGCCGGCGAUGUACCAGCCCGCAGCACUGCAUGAAGAGGUGGCAGGACGCAGUCAGAGCGUGGCUUCACCAAGCUGCACCGUGCCUCAGCUUCUCGUCACGGCCACUGUCCAUUUCUUCCCACCUUCCACUCCCAGGUAAUUUGAGACCUCCUUUCAGGGGGCUGCCUCCCGGCAAACAUCUAGAAAAGGUAGCAUUUCUCUUCCUGACCGAGCUGUUGCUAACAUGGGGUUUUGCCUGUUCAGAGCGUCAGGGUUUCCGAGCGAGGCUUUUACAGUAGCCAUGCUCAACCCCAGAGAUUUUCAAACCUCGGAGCCUUGCAUUUCACCAGGCUGCAGUAUGCUGCCUCCGAAGGGAGGAGGCCUACUCUGGCCGCUGUGUAUGUGACUGUUUCUGAGAACGACGCUGCUCCUGCUGCUGUUUGGCUGUUACAUCGCCCUCCUCGCUACGCACAGCGCAGAGAGCCUCGCAAGAGCAUCCUUGAUUCACUGGUACCUCUGUAACAUUUUGGGCAUAUCUGAUUUGCUCUUUCUCCCUCCUCCCCUCCCACUGACAAAUGAGUGAGUCUAGACUUCAAUUCACUGUGGAUCCUUAGGACUCCAGAGCCACCCUCUACACCAUGAGACGCUUUGUCCUGCAGUAUGCAUUUCAAAGGGAUGGGGAGGAAGAUUGCUGGAGUAGCCUCAGGACCUGACUCACUCAACCACUGCGGCCGUACAGUUUCUCUUUCUGCUCACCAAAGACUCAUUUUCUACACUGAAGCAUGUUAAGUGAACGCAGCUCUGGCGGGCGAAUGUGAUCGGAGUCGGACCUAAUUAAUUGGUUGAAUAAUGCAUCAGCUAUGAUUUAGACACAACGAGCCAAAUGUCCCAUAAGCCCGAGAGCUUACAAGUCAAUACCCCAUGUCAACUAUUCUGUUUAUACCAUUCCCCAAGGACACGGCUUUCUGGCAGAGAGCAGAUCUUUAUAUUCUUUGUCUGAGGCCUUGUACGUGUCACACCACGAAAAAUGAAUCAUUAAGGCAUUAGGGACUCGGCUCUUAAUUUGGAUGAUAUCAACCAUUCUAAUAAGCAAUGAUUCAUAUAACCUUUCAGUAUACCACACACACUGACCCAGAUUGGCUCCAUAGUGCUUAAAAAGGCGCAUUAAUUAAUCGCACACCAUAGUCUAAGAUCAAUAACCAUUGUCAGGCUCCUUAGUCCCGUGGAAAAUGAGAGCUUACUAAUUCUCCACCUCUUGCUCAUGUUUUCUUUAGAGCCCGGUUAACCAGCUCCUGUAUUGCUGUUCCUUGUCUUAGGGUGUGACUGAGAACUGGGAAAGUGUCUCUGCUUUCGUUCAGAACUCUCAUAUGACUGGCAGAGGAACCGAGCAGUGUAAUUAAUAGCCUCGACUUAACGGAGCCCCCAAAUUCUAUGGCUAUAUCGCAUACUAACCAUCCACGUUUUUGAAAGCUCAAAGGGAAAAAUAUGACUAUGUAAAGAGGUGGUUCUCAACCUUUCUAACACUGCCACCCUUCAGUACAGCGCCUCAUGUGGUGGUGACUCUGAACCGUAAAAUUAUUUAGUUGUUACUUUAUAACUGUAAUUUUGCUACUGUUAUGAAUCAUAAUAUACAUAUCUAUUAUGUUGGAUAUCUGAUUUGCAACCCCCGUGAAAGGGUAGUUUGACAUCCCCCCUCCCCACGACUUGGUCGUGAUCCACAGGUUGAGAACCACUGACGUAGAGCUUUGAUUAUGCCAGAGACAUUUCUAAAUUAAACAGGAAAUAGACUUUUGAAUUAAGUCUUCUAGAGAAGGUUGACUUUUUUUUUUUUUUUGGACUCUACAAGACAUAUUCCUUGUACACAGAAUUUCAGUUCGAUUUUUUUUUUCUGAAGAAACUUUAAUAAGAAGUAUAGUAAUCUAGUAAACACAAAGUCAAGGUUUUUAUUAAAAUUUUUGUACAAUAUAAUUUGGCCUUUUUCUUCCUCUUCCCCCAACUGAGAGAGAGAGAGAGGGGGGGGGUUGAGAGAGAGAGAGAGAGAGAGAGAGAGAGAGAGAGAGGUGGGUGGGUGGGUAGGGAGGUGGGAAGGAUCAAGGGUUUUAAAAAGUGCCUUUAUCUCACAUUUCAUAAAAACAAAUAAAAAUGAAGUCAACAUUAGAAUAAGAUGAAAACAUUGGUGGAGCCUUCUCUCCUUGAGUUCAGAAUUCACUUUUUAUUAAGUAUGGUAUUUUUAAACACAGUAUGUGAGAGAUUCCCCAGUUCAUUAGAGAUUCCACCCACACUGUCAUUCAAGAACCCAAGAAAGAAUGUCACUGAGCGCUCUAAGUGGGCUCUGCAAACAUUUGCUGGGGACCUUCUAUCUUCUUGGCUCUGGGUUAACAUGCUAUGGAGAGGAAAUAAGAAAGUACAUUUAUCCGUGACUCCCUUUUCUUUCUUUCCAACAGGGAGUCCAUGCCACCAUCUUCCUUUAAGGAUUGACACAAGGCAGGUGCCACCACACCAAAAGCAAGUCUAGGUCUUACAACACAGCAGAGAGAAGAGAAGAAAGUGACAAGGGGCAACAGGAAUGCCAGGGGAAAUGAUGGGAACAGCUCCUAACUAUCUCUCCCAGGUACGCUCAGGGCUCUGUUAAGUCAGGGCUAUGUGGGAUCCUUUUACAAGCCAGGCAGUGCUGCACCCAGUGGACAAUAAGUAGAGAAAGAAUGCCAGUUAACUAGACAGUAGACGAAGCACAAAAGUUCACACGCAGACUAGAUAUGUGCCACAUCUGCUCUUGUAAAAUAUACAAGCAAAAAAUGUGUGUGGCCUACAAACUCCUGAUACACUAAGACAGCAUAGUUACACUUAAAGUACGUUUUCGGGGACUUGCAUUUUUAUUUCUUUUUUUUUUUUUUUUUUUUUGGUUCUUUUUUUCGGAGCUGGGGACCGAACCCAGGGCCUUGCGCUUCCUAGGUAAGCGCUCUACCACUGAGCUAAAUCCCCAGCCCCGCAUUUUUAUUUCUUAUCUUGGGUUGUUCUAUGUGUAAGCACAUGCAUGUGCCUCUCCAGCCCUUGGGCUUUUUUUUGAGACGGUUUCCAUCACACGGGGAUAUCCUCAGAUCUAUUAUGAGCUAUGGGGACAAGGAUGCCAUUGCAUCCCUAAUCCUCCUUGCCUCCACCUCCCAAGUUCUGGGGUUACAGGUCUACAUCACCGCGUCCGGUCCAAAGUAUUCAAACUAAAUUGCAUCCUCCCAGAAAUUCGGUCCUUCCUUACGUGUACAGUUUUAGCGUUGAGCAUAGACCAGGAGACAUAAAUUCACACUUGCGUCUUUGUUAUUCAUUUAUCAUUUCAUCCAUAGCAACCAGAAUAAACCUAGGGAGUUUGUGCUAAGGCAAACAGUUCAGCUUCCCUAGCAACUGGGGGUGGGGCAUUGGGGCAGUGCACGUGACUAGCUUCUGACCAAUGAGAAGAAGCAAAACUGACAUGUAUCAAUCCCAUGCCUGUCCUUAGGGGAGCGGGACCUUGCCUUCCUCUUGUACGUUCCUCUUUCCUGUUGCCCUAAGGUAGAUGUAAUGCUGAAGCGAUACAGAAAAACCUGCCACACAUUUCGGGGACACAGCAGCAGGUCUCCAGUCUCUCAUUGGAAGCCGCUGUUCCCUUUGGAGGUGGCUUGUCAUGGCGUGACAUUAUGAAGAGAAACAUGCCCCCAUAUUGUCUAAGAUACUCCUACUUUGACCCCAGUUAAAGAAAUGAAGCCUGUAUUUUAAAAAUACUUCUUUGUGUUACUGUUAAAGUGAAUAAUGAAUUCAUAGUGUCCAAGGAGCAUAGGCAGAGGAAGGGGCCGGUGGGGCAGAACAGCGAAGCAGGGAGAGGUACCUAAUUCCACAGCGGAGUUCAGAUUUUAUCCAGCAGAGCAGGAGAACGACGGGAGCUGUUAAAUGUGAAAAUAACUGCCUAUUUUUAUUAACAAGUAGGAAAAACAAUCCUCUCUAGAUAAUUUGGUCUAAAAAUACUGGACUAUUUUCCCCAAACAGAAACAGAUUCUACAGUAAGAAAUCUGAAACUGCUAAGCUUACGUAUUGGCAAUUAGUAAGGAGCUAAGAAGUAAUCCAAUCAAAUGAACUUAAUCAAAUAGAUUGUGAUUUACGGAGCUCACCACAAAGCUAAUGAAUGAUUCACUGAUGUAUUUUGUAAUAAUAUAUGGUGUAUUUACAUUAAAAUAUUGUAAUGCAGUAACGAAGAGCGAUUGAAGUAAUAAUGAAGAAUCACAGAUACAUAUGACAUCAUGUGUAUAUACAUAUGACAUCAAUGGCACGAAUUUUAAAAUCUAAGAGGUUCACCCGUAAGUGUUGCUUACGAAAAAUCAGGAUUGUUUGGUUGUUUCACAUUGUGUGUCACUCCUAGUGACAAGAGAGAAAGCACACAGCAAAUGAGACGGUGCACUUCCUCAGAAGAAUGACACUAGAGGGAUAAUAGCAGCUGCAAAAGGUGAUCUCCCAGCAUGCGAGAGAGACUGGAGAGGAAGCAGAAGGGGAGAUUGAACACCGCAGUGUUAGCUAUCCAGAGGGGCAAGAAGUCCUGGCGUGGAGGACAGGGAGAUGGCACGAACACCUGAGUUUGGAUUCUUACUCCUCACAUCAUGUGUUGCCAUGGUGACGCCCACUCUAACAGUAGUGUAGAAUAAGCAGAAGCAGAGAGAGGCGGAUCCUAGGGGUUUUCUGUCUAGCCAGUCUAGCCAAACUCAUAAGCACUCGAUUCAGUGAGAACCCCUGUUUCACCCAAAUACAAGGGAAAAGAUGGGGAAAUACAUCUAAUGUUGACCUCUGGCCUCAACAUACACAUGCACCGGUUAGCAUAUAUGAGCAUAGGCGGGUGAGCACGCCCAUGCACGCAUCUGUAUAGGCAUGCAUAUACCACACAUAGGCACACACAGAGAUUCGAGCAGGCGACUGCACAGCAAGGUGAUAACUGUUAUAGCAUAUUUCAAAAAUGUAGCACUUUGGAUGUUUUUACCCAAAACAAAUGAAAAAUAGCCAAGGAGACAGAUAAAGCUAACCUAAUCCAAUUAUCAUACAAGUUUCACGUUUCAAAAGAUCUGCCAGUAUAACAGGUAUACAUGUCCACAUAUUUGUUACACUCAUUUAUUUUUGUACAUAUAUGGGAACACAUAUGCCACAGAUCAUGUGCAGAAGCCAGAGGACAGCUUAUAGGACUCACAUCUGACCUUCCUGAUGUGGAUCCUGGCAAUGGAACUUAGGUCAUCCUGCCUAGUGGUAAAAAACUUGACCUCCUAACUUAUCUUACCAGUAACAGUUUCUAUAAUUCUAUACGUCAUUUUUACAUGUCAUACAUAAUUUUAUAAUCAGCUACAACUAGUUUAAUUUAAAGAUGCCCCAACAACACUACAACCUUGAGAUUCUUUCUGUAGUAGAACAGAGAUCCCUUAUCAGGAGUGACUCUGUUUGGGUGUUACAGCUCUUUCAGUGGCUGACGUUUCACACAGCCUCAGGGUCCUGAUAGCCUCUGUGCUCACUUCUCACCCACCCAUCAUAGUCCAGUGUUACAGCUAUACACAUUCAUAAAUGCAAAACAAUAAUUCAAAAAAAGACCCAGCAACAUUAAAAAAAAACCCAACAAUUAUCCUCAACAAUUAUCUGUCUGUUGAGUCAAUGUCGCCUGAGUGCUACUGGGCAUGCACAUGAAUCUGCAGGUACUGGUCUCACAAGAUAGGAAAUAUAACACCCAAGAUUUUUAAAUAGAGGGAGGUCAAGAUACAGGGGGGACAAUAUAUAUAUAUAUAUAUAUAUUUACAAAGUAGGAUGUUAGUGUAUGAAAGUAAAGAAUGUUACAAAACUAUAGAGCAUGUAGAUAGUCAUUUGCCAUUACUAAAGGAAGAAAAGUCUUUUGGGGCAGUGCUCUUUGCUCUAAGGUUGCCAAGAGGGAAGGAGUUAAAAAUACAGGGGUUUGAGCACAGGAAGAAGCCUCUACAAAUGUCUCUGUCUAGGAAGGGAUGGUUAAGUAGCCAAAGGAUCAAGUAAGAGAGGGAGAAGGACCAAAGCAGGUUUAGAAGGCAGGUGGUAAGCAUGUCACGAGCUCUGUGCCGGGAGUUUUAUCUUUGUACUAUGAGCAGUGGGAUGGUUUCAUUCAGACAGCCACAGGCAUGAGCAGACAGACAGCAUUUUUAACAUACACGUUGGUAGUGAGGUUGUAGCUGAAGGGAAAGCAGAGAGCACAGAGGAAACAACGUUGGAACAUCUAAGGCAAAGAUGAUGGUGUUACUUCUGGAGGACAUGGGGAGAGAGAGGUGAGAGAAGCAGAUGCGCUGAGAGGAUUAGAACAGGAAAGUAUGAUCAGAAACAACAGAGUGAAAAAAGCUUCAGUGUAAGUGUCAAAGAUGGUUACUUUUCUAUCUCCUUGUCUCUGCCCAUUUCCAUCCACGAUUGUGGUUCAGUCUGUUGGGACAAUGUGAUAUGCCUUCAUGGGCAGGUCAGCUCUCCUCUGCCCCUUGACUUGUUCUGACCAUUCUAUCUCACAUUAGAAUUCCAAGCAGGACUCUUACCAAGCCCCGUGUAUCUUUCUUAAUCUUUGUACUCUCUCUUCUGCUUAUUCUCUCUUCUUGCUUUUCUUCUCCUUCCCCUCCUCCUUUUGCUCCCCCACCCUCCCUCCUCUGGUGUGUUCAUGGAUACGUGAGCAUGUGUGUACAGUAGUACAUGAAGGACAGAGGCCAAUAUUGGGUAUCUUCUGCAAUUUUCUUCCACCUUGAUAUUUUGAAUCAGGGUCUUCCAUUAAACCUGCAGCUCACCAAUUUGACUAAACUGGGUGGCCAGCGAACCCCAGGAAUCCUACUGCCAUAGCCUCCCAAGCAUUAGGAUUCCAGGUAUGUAUCACCACCCUUGGCUUUUUACUGGGUGCAAAAAACCUGAAGUCAGGUCCUCAUACUUGCCUAACAAGCACUUUACCAUCUAAGCCAUCUCUUCAGCCUUAAUCUUUACCUCUGUAGCCACCAAAAAGGACAACUCUAUUUUACUCAGCCUCAAUGGAAAUAUGUAUCAUUCUUUUUCAGAUUUUCUUUUUUCUUUUUUUUGCCAAGACUUUCUGUAUUCCUUGAUCUUCUAGGUGUUUGUUUUUUUUCAGAUCAAUAAUGGUAUUUUUCAGUAAUAAGAUUGCACACAGAUAACAGUAGAAGUCAGCAGAAUAAGGAGGUAGUUAGGGGAGAUGAAGUCAUGCUUCCCAAACUACUGGUAGCCAUGGAAUGGGCACGUGGCUUCAGUAAGAUUUGGCCACUUCCAAUGUUUGAAACUGACUCAACAUUCUAAUUUACAAAGCUCUUACUUGAGAACCAAGUAACUGACACACACACACACACACACACACACACACACACACACACACACCCAUCAAAACAGGAAAACGUCGACGUUUUGGGUAAGCUUAUAUUUUAUAGAGGGUUGCAUCCAUAACUCCCUUUGGCUCCAUGCAGUCUUUGAGUCAUAAGUUGGAUACCUGGAGGACAGCCUUUAUGCUGCAGCUUAUGCUGCUGUAACACAUGCUACACUUGAGUGUGAUAAAAACUGAGCCAUCCUAAUUAUCCCCUCUUAUCUUGUAAUACAAUCACAUCUGAAGGAGUUCAGUCCUGCAAUGAAAGUCAUUUCAAUCCAAUGCCCUCCUUUUUCUGCCUAGCUCAGGGAAACUUGCAAAGAAUUUCAAAAUCUGCUUCAAUCCUUUUUCCUUUGAGUCUCUCAAAAUUGACCCGAAGCCAUGUCCCCACUUUGCAACACAAAGAAGUAAAACAUUUAAGCAUUAAAAUUCUCGCAGGUCCCCAACUGGCUCCCUCUGCUUUGUCUUUGGGUUUGUGGCUCAGUGUAUGUCUUUAAAAUUUCUCCAUAUCACUCAUUACAAAGAGUGUAUUCGAGGAAAAUAAGCCAACAAAGCUUCCAUUCAUCUCCCUUUCCUACUCUGGCUCAAACCCUCUCUACCCAGACUUCUGGUUGUCCCCAAGAGAAAUCAGGGCAACAAGGGAGCAUCACUACCUUCCCACUGCAGAAGGAACACUGUAUAAAGGCAGAAGUCCAUUAUGUUAAUCAGAAAGGUAAUGACGGGAAAGCAAGUCCAAGACCAUCCGCUGAUUAAAAUUCACCACGGCUCAUCCUUUUUUCCGAAAAUAUAUUUGACCCAUUCAUUUUACUCAUUACGGACGGAAAGAAAUACAACCUGCAUAUAGGAAAGAAAAUAUUGGUCUUUGGAUGGAAAAAGGCAUGUUGUUCAGAUAUAAUAUGUCGUGAGCAAAUCCAUGAUGACCACAGCAUAAAAUACUUCCAAGUGGUUAUUCUAAUUUCCUCUCUGAUUGGAAUGACCAAGAAAGAGAAAUGCAUAUUUCCCCUUCAGCUACCACAAAUAUGCUUGACAGAUUCUAAAAUUCUAACACACACACACACACACACACACACACACAGAGAGAGAGAGAGAGAGAGAGAGAGAGAGAGAGAGAAAGAGAGAGAGAGAGAGAAAGAGAGAAAGAGAGAGAAAGAGAGAGAGUAUGCUGUCCUGUCACUGACUCCACCAUAACAUUCAUUUACAAAAUUAGCAAGUUACCACUUCAUUUUCCUUAGUUUUACUUUUUGAGAUUAUGAUACCAUUUUCCCUUUCCUCUUCCUCAAACCAAAUCUACCCUUACAGACUUUUCUUGUUCUCUUUCAAAUCAUGGCCUCUUUUGUCAUUAACUGUUCAUCACACAUGCCUAUAUGUAUAUGCACAUAUAUUUCUAAAUACAUAAGUGCAAGCUACUCAAUCUGUAUAAUGUUACCUGAACGUAUGUUUGCAAGAAUAGCCAUUUGAUAUUGCAUAAUUAGUUGGUGUGUGUCCUAGUUAGGGUUGUUAUUGCUGUGAUAAAGCACUAAGACCAAAGCAACUUGGGGAGGAAAGGCUUUAUUUUGGCUUACGCUUCCACAUCACUGUUCAUCUUCUAAGGAAGUCAGGACAGGAACUCAAAAAAGGCAGGAACCUGGAGGCAGGAGCUGAUGCAGUGGUCAAGUAGUAGUGGCUUGCUCACCAUGGCUUUCUUAGCCUGCAUUCUUAUAAAUCCCAGACCACCUGACCAGAGUUAGCCUCACCCAUAAAGGGUUGGACCCUCCCACAUCAAUCACUAAUUAAGAAAAUGCCCUACAGGCUUGCUUAUCACUAAAUCUUAUGGAGGUAUUUUCUCGAUUGAGGCUCUCUUCUCUUCAGUGACUCUAGGAUGUGUCAAGUUGGCAUAAAGCUAGACAGCACAGCAUGCUUUUCCCUGCAAGAGACUUUAUCUCCUGCUCUCAAUGUUCCUUAAUUGCUUGUAGUUCUUUGUGUAGAGUUAAGGCCUUGUGGGGUUCCUCCACUCCACGUUGGCAUAUCUAUUGCUGUUGUCCUUGUUCAAUUCUUGGUUAGUCAUUCAUGUUGGUGAGACUUUAUGGAUGUAGCUUAUGUCAUGACUACGAGGCACAAUCUCACUGUAAUCCCCUCAUCCAUUGGCUCUGACAAUGCUACACAGCUUUGAUGCCUAUGAACCACAAAAUGACCUGCAUGCCAGUAUCAUUCUAAGUGUACAGUAGUGGCAUCAGACGGCAGUGGUAACUAAAAGCUAUCUAACUUGAUUUAUGGUCACUCAACAAAAGCUAAGUCAUGCCUGGUAUUGGAAACAGGCAACUACCCAGGGCUAAUGAAAUAAUAGAUCAGAGAGGAACCUACAACUACAAUCACUUUACUAAACCAGCACGAUCCCUAACUGUGCACUAAAUAUUUGCCUUUUUAGAUACCUACAAAUGUAGUUGUCACCCAACAACAAGGAAACUUCUCUUUGCAACACAUAGAGACCAGUGUCAACCAACUAUAACCAAUCAAAAUGCAAAGCUUAGUCACAAUGAAUAUAUCUACAAUCCAACUCCCAUACCAAAGGCCCAGGGAACAUCGUAGAAGAUGGGGUGGAAAGACUGUAAGAGACAAUUCAACACUUUUUUUUAGAGAUGUAUUUAUUUUAUGUAUAGGAGUACACUGUAGCUGUGUAUCUAUCUUCAGACACACCAGAAGAGGGUAACAGAUCCCACUACAGAUGGUUGUGAGCGACCAUGUGGUUGCUGGGGAUUGAACUCAGGCCCUCUCGAAGAGCAGCCAGUACUCUUAACCACUGAACCACCUCCCCAGACCCCAAAUUCAACACUUUUUGAAAUCCUUUGCUCAAAUAGAAAAGAGAAAGAAGAAUAACAGCUGACACAUGGAUUCCCACUAGGCUCCAGUCCGUAAAGUAGGCUAGAAACUUGACACAGGUGAUUCUUACAAUUCCUGUAGCCUAAGUUCUGAUUUACUUCUAGUUUAUAAAUGAAGGAACUUUGUCACAUUUCUGUCACUGUGACCAAUAACUGAGUAAAACAACCUAAAGGAAAUAAUUAUUUACUUUGGCUUAGAGUUUCAGAGGUUUUGGUCAAUCAUGGCAAGGAAAAUAUGAAGGCAGGGUAGCUCACAUCAUAGCAGAAGAGAGGGAAAGAGGAAGAGAGGGAGAAGGAGAAAAGUAGGAGAGAGUGAGAGGGGAAGAGGGAGAGAAAAAGAGGAGAGAAAACAGGGAGAUGGGGUCGGAGGUGGGGUUGGUCUUUGCUGGCUUCCUCCUCUCUCUCCCUUUAUCCCACCCAGAUCUCUAUGUAUGAGACAGGGCCUUCCACAUUCAAAGUAGGUCUUGUCUUCUUAGUUAAUUCUCCCUGGAAAUGCUACCGGACACACCCAAGGGAGCACUUUACUAAGUAAGCUUCAAAGCUCUCUCAAUGAAGUCAACAGUCAAGUUUCACCAGCACACCAAAGCAUCGUGAGUUAAUUGUUCAAAACCAGGCAGGGUAAGGUUUUCAGAAUUUCAAGUUAUUGUUUUUCUCCAUCUUGUUCUGUGCCAGAUAAAAAGUAAUUUUACAAGCCAACCCUGGAGGAGCACACAAUAGUUUAUUUACCCCCUAAUAAACUGGCAGCCACUUGCCCCUAUAGUGAACAGCGUCAACCAGCCUUUACAUGGCUUCUUUACUAGUAGUUUUCCAAACCAUCUUUGUGAUCUAUAAACACACACUAUCCAAACUGCUUUCUUUCCUUUUGUUGAAAAGUUUUACUCAUGAGAAAAUUCAUUCUAUAUCACUAGAUCCCUCCCUGUCUUGAGGUGUGGGAUUACUAUGUAGUCCUGGUUGGCCUGAAACUUAUUAUGUAAACCCAACUAGUACCAUUCUAUGAAAAUUAACUCAUUUCAUAACUAUAGGAGUUAUAGCAAGUGACACUGAUAUAACCCAUAUCUUCUCUCUCUCUCCCUUUCCAACGUUCUUCCUUCCUCUCACCAAACUUGAGAAACCAUUUAAGGAAAUUUGAAAGAAUAGUUUGUGUUAGUACUAAGGGUUGAGUUUGCGGUUUCCAUAUGCUACUCUACAGUGGGCUAAGUUCUCAUGAAUAAAUUUAAAAUAAUGUUUAAAUUAUAUAAAAGGAGUUACAAUAAAAGAACAACAAAGAUGGAGGCGGGCCACAGACAUAGAAAUAAAGACUGGAACACCCUGUGAUGACCAGUAUACUUCCUCCAGAUGAGCCGUGAAUCUUCCUGUAAGCUUUCUAGCAGGCAACUCAAAAAGGGAAACUCGGUCAGUUACAUAAUUUACUGGCCAUAAGCUUAAAAUAAACCCAAUGCUCAGCAGCGCCACACUGCUUGGCACUCACAGCAGACACCAAAUUCUCCUGAAGUCCCAUAAAAAGGAACAUCUUGUAAAGGCACAGGCAGUGUUCCUGACAGGCCUGACGGGAAAUGCCACAGCGGGCUUUAAAGGGCUGUUUCUCAGACUGACCUUCAGAGGACGAUAAGUGUCUCACACCAAAUGGCAUUUGGUAAGAUACUCAGGGGAGUGAGGCAGAAGGAGCCUCACGCCAUACUCACAGGUUUGGCAUGAGUCAAGUGUAAAGGGAAAGUUAGGACAAGAGUGGUGCAGAGGGUGAGCAUGAUUCCUUCAGUCCAGAAACUGUUACAAAGACUAACGUUGUUCACCCCUAGAUGGCAAAAGAAUAAUCAGAUCUCAGGUGAGUGAUUAGGCUAACACAGCACAGCUCCCCAGUUGUAGAGGUAGGAUUUAAAUGAGGUUGGAUGUCCUUCACCUAUUCCCUCUCUAGGACCCCAGGGUUUUCACCCUGAAGAGAGUCUUUGUUCUUAAAUUAAUUUCAUUGCCACUUUGAGGGGGGAAGGGAAUCAUCACUUGAGUCCUGUACCCAUCAAUUAUACGACCAGGUUCCAGGGGUGCUUCCAAUCCAAUGGCGACAUAGAUGGCCCUGGAUAAACUAAAUGGGCCAUAAGGGAUUGAUGUAUGUGUGUGCACUUGCUUGUGAGUGUAUGCACCUGUGUGCGUUAGUGGUGUGUGUGUGUGUGUGUGUGUGUGUGUGUGUGUGUGUGUGUGUGCACGCGCAUUAGGAAUGAGAAGGAGAUAGGAGAGAGUGGGACACAAAAUAAUCACUCGUUCAUUAUAUAUAUAUUAUGAAGUUAACAAAAUCAAUCAAUGGAAAAAGGAAAAAAAAUAAGGGAGAAAUAAAAAAUAAAAUAAAAAUAACCAACCCCAAAGAAUACUAUUACUUAUCAUGAGCUUCUGAUACAUAUUACAUGGGAAUGACCUUAUGACCAUUCAACAGGGACAUAUAACUGGCCGGAGGUGAUGAUGAAACAAAAAAACAGUUCAGGAGAAGCCUGAUCAUAUCAGCUUGCAAUGGUUGAAGCAAACGGAUCCUACCAUUCCCCUCUCUGUCCUUCCUCCUUGCACCCACUGGCCUUGAGAAGAUCCAGAGAGUGGGACAAACAGAAGGAGGUACCUUGAGCACCUUUGGAGUAAGCCAGACUUAGGGAAGAGGUGGGGCUUAUGCACAAUGGCACUGCACCUUUAAAUGAGGGCUGGAGACGGCACAGAAGGGCAGCUGUUUAGAAAGAAAGCCCAGCAAAAACUUGGUCUGCUUCUAAAUAUCCUUGAUCUUGCUCCUACGCAAAACUCCUAUGGUGGUCCCAAGUAGUUUGUCAUGCUAAAUCUUUGAUCUUAAUUCUGGCUAAAGGUAAAAAGAUUGGUUUUCCAUACCACUGCUUGGAAAUGCUCUAUAAAUCUAGAGGACUCAUUUCGAAAGUGAUAAGAUAAAAGACAGAGGAAAUUUACCCGAUCCAUCUCUGGUUAAGAGAGCUGUGAAGACAGUCUAACAUUAUUACCCAGUCUCUGUGGCACAGUGGGUCUUCAGGAUGGUAUUCUAGAGGAUCCCACGUAUAUGGGAGUUAAAAUGAAACAGAAGUGUAGGUGUGCAUGCCUUCAGUUUACAGAGGAGUGAGAUUAAAGACUGCUAAAUCUCUAUUAUUAGUGCAGAUGACCCAAUGUUCUUAGCCAGGCACCUAAAGAAAAAGAAAAUACGCAGGUAGGUAUUCAUACCUGCCAUGGUCAUUUCUCUGUAAAGUCUGCUUUGUAGAAGUCCAUUUACUCAAAAUGGAAGUCUUACAGUUCCUAUCCUAAUGUAAAACCAAGUAUUCUUGGAGUAAUUUAAAUACUGUUAGAAGAUUGAAGUCAUGCCUUGCUGGAUUACGCUGGGUCUGGUUCAGUAUGUAACUCACAUGUGUGGGAUACAGUGGAUAUUAUCACACACAUACACACACACACACACACACACACACACACACAAACACACACGACAGAUAGUUGAUGGACAGUUUAUGUCAAGGCAUGUGCUUGAGUACAAGAUAGUUUGACACAAUCCACACGUUCCCUAUUAGGAGUCCAUUUCUCAACAUAGCCUAGGAUGGCCUUGAACUCACCAUCUUCCUGUCCCUGGUUCCUCCACCCUGGCACAGAAAAUAUCCAUGACAGUCAAAGUUUUUUUGUUUAUAUAUUGCUUAGACUCUCAUGAGCAAAUAUUUCCCAUACUGCCACACACUUCAUACCGGAUUUCUCUUUCUAGUAGUCUUAAGUCUGAAAACUAACCCUUUUUAAAAUCAUUGCAUUUCCUUUUUCUUCAAAAUACCUUGUUAAUACAUAAUGAGGUCUCACUAACUGUUGUUUUGUCCGAUACAUUAUAAAACUCUUCGAUACUGAAAAGACAUAGCAGGGAGUCAGGCAGGAACUGAAAUACAAAUCACAGAGGAACACUGCUUACUGGCUCGCUCUCUGCCUCAGGUUAAACUAGUGUGUUCUUAGGCAGCCCAGCUCCACACGGUAGGAACAUAAGUGAAACCAUUUUGUGUGACUUAAAAGCUAUUUUGUAUGAUUUGGACUAAUGUGAUGCCUGUAAAAUGGGAGCUUGUCACCAGGCAACUCUGAUAAGAACUAGGCUUUAAAAGCAAGCUCCAGGCAGUCCUUGAUAUGCUAAGCAACUAACCCCUAGGUGGUGUUGAUAAGCUGGUGAACCAGCCUCAAGCUGUGAGCCCUGAUCCAUGCAAAGCCCAGUAAAUGAUGCAAACAUUGGGACUUUAGGAAUGGCCUUUAGGAUCACAGUGCUAGUACUCCAGAGACAGCUUCUCUGUCCUCUGUUGACACUCGUCAGCAAGAAGACUUGGGACUGUACAGUGUCCUGGGUUCAGCAACCAUUAAGCAUUCAGAGCUGUCACUCUGCUCACAGAUGCUGGCUUGUCAGUACUGGCUGGCCAGAGCUCUUAAGGAGUUUCUGGACUGCCAUUAGUGCUAUCCUCCCAUCCAGCUACAGCUGAAGGACGUCAUGGGAAUGUGUGGGAUGGGUGAGGUGUAGGGGGGUAGAGAAUGUGAGUUGAGCCUCAAGCUUUACCUUACAGGAAAACCUUCCCAAAUAGAACCCUACAGCAUGUCCUGUCCACGUUCCCCACUUGGUGAGAUGUCUGUUUCACUUUUAUAUUAGUAUGAUAUAAUAAGGAAUGCCUGUGUAAAUAACUGAGCUUACUCAAAACUGUGUAAUAAACCAAGCAUACUCAAAAGACAAAUCUUGUGUGGACAUCCUAAAUGCUUAGCACCUCACAGCCUAUGGGCCUAUGGGUGUAGGCCACGCAGAAUCUCUAUGUCAAAUGCCAAGGGAUUGUGCCACCCACAGUGGGCUGGGCCUCCCCACUUCACACAUCAAUCAAGAUGAGCUCUCACGGACUGACCAAUCUAAUUGAGGCUAUUUUUUCGUUGAGGUUCUCUCUUUCCUAGUGACACAAGGUUGUGCCUAGUUGACAAUAAAAACUAUCUGGGCCACAGAUACACAAGUGGACAAUGGAAACUCUCUGCUCCUGUGGUGCUAUGCAGGUAAAGAAAACAGGGACAUGUAUUUUUAAACACCGACUUGCAGUUUCGAUGUAUUUUGGGAAGAAGGGUGGGAAUGACAGACAGGAAGACUAAGUUCCAGUCUCAUGUAAGGCAUCUGUGGAAGGUAAGGAUAGACUAUGGUACAUGAAUAAGACAUGAGAUCAAGAGAAGAAAGCAUGAGACGAGUGCCAGAGGUGAGUGUACACCACUGUCAUAGAGGAACUGGUCAGUAAGGGAGUUGUGAUUUCAUCUACUCCAACGGCCAGGGUUGGAAUCGGUCAGUGUCAUUCCAUCACUACAGCAACAGGACUCUGUCUGUGAGUGAAAGCCAUGGGUGAGUUUGUGAAGGACAAACAACACUGACUGAUAUCUCAGCAGUGGCAUCAUGCAUGCUGUGCAGGGACUUCAAGAAGCUAAACACACCAGAAAGAUGGUGUGUUCGACUACCACAAUUGCUCAGUUAAGAGAGAAGGCCUUCAUCUAGGGUAUUUGUUGGAGAGAAGUCUUGAAAGAUGGUUUGAUUCUGAAUAUACUGUGAUGUCAGAAGUGAUAGGACCCAUAGAUUCAUACUGCACGAGACAAUAAUACAGCAAGUUGGGGCUUGAAAGGGGAUACAUGAGCUUAACAACUCUGUGUAUGUCAGCUCCACUUCCUAAAAGGGACCCUCAGGGAGAAGCUGACUUGAAAGGGAAACAAAAAUAAUUUGGGGAAAGUUAAUUUUGAAAAACUUCUGUAGAAUGUAUGGUCAGAUGUGGUGGUCCAUGCUUUGAAUUCCCAUACCCGCAGGGCAGAGACAGGCAGAACUUCAUGAGUUGGAGGCUAGCAUGGUCUAUGUGGUGAGUUUAAGCCAACCAGGACUACUUAGUGAGAUUCUAUCUUAAAAAAAUAUUAAGUUAAAAGUCUAUAGACUAUCAAUGCAGUGAGAUCAGUUAGAUAAUUUAUUGCAUGACUUCAGGUUUCAAAAGAAAGCUGUGGGCACAGAGGUGCAUGUGGAAGGCAGCACAGAGAUGUCUUUAAAACCAUGAGCCUUAGGGAAACUCUUAACAAGGAUGACCCAAGACUGGCUUCAGCUAACAAGUGACUGCAGCAGCCAAGAGUCUGGUAAGAUAUGGGAAAUGAUUUCUUUGGUUGAAAACCAAAGGGAAGUCAAAUGAGAUAUAGACCACAGAUUGAGUAUCAGAUCUCAACAUAUGGAUAUCAAUCAUGGUUGUAGAUGAGAGGAAUUCAAUGAGAGUUUGGGCCAAAAGUACCAAGAAUCACCAAGAUGGCUCAGCAGGUAAGGUGCUUGCUACCAAGCCUGAUGCUGGAGUUUGAUCCCCAGAACCCACAUGGUGGGAGGAGAGAACCAGCUCCUAAAAGUUGUCCUCUGACUCCACAUGCAAGCUACAGUACACAUGUACUAGCCUCCCCUGCCAGUAAGUAAAAUUAACAUUAAAAAAAUUUAAGUCUGUUGAAAUAGAGUCAACUGAUACAUUUUUUUUUUCCAGGAAGAUCUUACUUAGCAUACAAGGCAUGUCUGUAGAAAGAUAUGGAACCAAGCAGAGCUGUUACAGGUUAGAGUAAAAUAAGAGAUGCUUCAAGAGAGAUCACAGAUAAUUGUAGAAGAAAGUCCAUGGUGGUCCAGAGGGGAUGAGACACCAUGCACAUUGACUGAAUGAGUAGACUGACUUCAUUCAUCCACUGUAAUGUGAAGUCAUUCAUUCACUUCAAAGGAAGGCAGAGAAUCCUGACUUAAUGACAGGUGCUAAAAGGUCUUUUCAGAGGUGUCCUUUUCUCUGAUGAAGUCAGGAGAAAGGUCGUUAAAUGAGAGCAGAAAGAGGAAAGUGUUGGGCACCAGAGGUCAAGGAGGGAUUCUCAGGAAUGGUCUUGUAGAUGGGCUAGGCAAACUGAAAAGACAAAAGGUGGAUGAUAUUGAGUACAGUAUCAAAUACGUGUUAAUAUCUGCAUAAAAGUUCCCCUAUGCUGAUGUUUCCAACGUGACCUAUUAUGCUCAUGUGAUGGAGUUCAAGGGCCAAGUCAAUGAGUAUCAGAUUCAGCCUGGCUUGGUGUUUCUUGGGAACAAUAGCCAGAGGGAGAGGGGAGCAGACAGCUGAAUGUCUAAUACACCAAGGGGCCUAAGUAAGGAGAACACUGAUGAUCUGCUGGUGGUGAGGGAUGAGAAACUGGAAAAAAAGAGAAAGCAUAUGAGAUCACAGAACAGGAGGGAUUCUUAGAGCAAUAGCAGACACGUCAAAUUAGAUCAGUCUCUUCUGAGUUGACUAGAGAAGUCAACUCCUGGUAAAGAUGUUCCAGUGUGUCAGUCGUGAAGACACAUUGCCCAAGAGAACCAGCUGCAGGAGGAAGGACGUUCUUUGGUGCUGUGAGUCAGGAACUUCAGGAACUUCAGUGUAUAUGGGGUUGACCUGGUUGUGUUUGAGGAGGCCUGUAGUGAGGAGGCAGAUACGUUAUAGCAGAAGAGCAUAGUGGGAAAAAGAUGUGUUCUUUAGAGUGGACAGGAAUGAGAGAGAGAGAGAGAGAGAGAGAGAGAGAGAGAGAGAGAGAGAGAGAGAGAGAGAGAUUGAGUGAUAGAGUGUGUGAGAGACAGAGUCGGAGAGAGUGAGAGUCUCACUUUCUGCAGCUAGACCAACCGAUCUACAAUACAAUACUCACUACUUUCCUGUAGUCCCUUCAACAGUGAAGCCAUCAGAGGUUAGUGUAUUGAAAGUCAUUGUGACCCAAUACACUCUGGACAGUGCUGCUCAACACUCAGGUGCCAGUACAUGUUUCCCUGGGGACAUUUCACAUCCAAAGCAUGUUACCUACCAGUCGAACUCGUUGUUAAGAUGAAAUGGGUAAGAAACUCUCAUUUCCCACUGUCUGAUGUAGCCAUGUGAACAUGCAGUGAGGAAGUUUAGCUGGAAUAGGAAAACAUUUCUCCACUUUAAGAGCAGACAUGGAGGAAUCCAGGGGGAGUCCUCUGAUUAGGUGUGAAGAACUCCAGGUCUAGUAUCCCAGUCCAAUUAUUUCACACUCAGGCCACAGAAGCCUUUUAUUAUUCUCAUAUAAGAAGCACACAGCCACCAAGGCAAAAAAAUAAUUAAACUGCAAAUCUUCAUUCUUUGAAAAGUUGAACUCACUAUGCCUGAUACAAACACCUUCACCCCUCCAUAAAUAGCAUCUCACGUGUGUUUUGACGUCAACUUAGUUGAUUUUGGAGCAGCAGAAUUUUUCUACUGAAUUUCAAAGCUGAAGCUGAUAAGUCUUCCCAGAGCGGGGACAGAGUCCAAGGUAUCACUGGACAAAUGCUCCAACACUGAGCUAUAUCCCCUGCCCCCAAACUGACAAUUCGUUCUAUGUCACAUCUCUGAUCAAUUCAGUCAUUUGAAUAUAUAUGCUAAGCUCACAUGCUGAAACCUGACCAACACAGUAUUCAAAGGUAUGAUCUAUGUGGUGCUGACAUCACCAGGACUGGCCUCUCAAGAACUGAACUAGUGUGUUUAUGUGAGGGCCCCUAAAGAGCCCUCCAUGUACUACGCUUUGUAUGAGGUCACAGCAAUAUGCCACCCGUAAACCAGGAAAUGGGUCUUGAGAAGACACCAUAUCAGCUUUGAACUUGUACUUUCUUCCCAGGUUUCAUAUCUGUAAGAAACAUCAACUGUUUGUAAGUCCCAUUGUUAAUGACAUCUUAAACACUUCAACCUGGGUGCAAUAUGAGAAUAAAUUUAUUUUGGCAUUAUCAGUAAACAUGCCUAAAAUCCCAGUAUUGACUUUCUUGGAAGGUACCAUGGAGGAAUUCAUAAUUCCUAGCACUGAACAGUUUGCAUCCUACUGUUCAUGGCCAACAGGAGCAAUUCUAAGGAAAACUGGGGCAUGUAGUCUACUUCCCAGGCUGAAGACCUUUACUGACCCAGCCCUUGGCUGUGUUUGGAUUUACAUGGGUUCCUGCUCAGGUCACCAUGCAUGGAGAUGUUCCUUUUCUGGGAGGACAGAAAGAGGAUGGUUGUCCGCCGGUUGUGGUGGCACAGAGGCAGGAGGGUCACAAGGUCCAGGAUGGUGUCAGAAUGAGGAUGGGGACUCAGAGGCUGAGUCAAAGAAAAAGAUAUAACCACAAGGUGGCAGUAACACCCAGCCCUGGUGACUCCAAGGGCUUAUUAGUCCCUUAUUGCAGAGUUCUGUCUAUCCUUCCGACAGGAACAUUUCUGGGUUUCAAAAUUUUGAAUCGGAGUGGCCCCAUCCUUUAACUGGGGGGGGGAGGGCACGCCUAGCUAGUGGAGUUGGUCUCUGUAGGUUCUACCGACCCUUUGUUGGGUAUUUCGGCUAAAGUCAUCCCUGUUGGGUCCUGGGAGACUCUUGCUUCCCUGGCAGCUGGAACUUUCUAGUGGCUACCCUCAGUUCUCUACCCUCUCCCCACAAUUGCUACAUAUUUAUAUUCAGUUUCUUGACCCUCUGUAAAUGGAACAGAGACUGAAGGAAAGGCCACCCAGAGAUCGCCCCAUCUAGGGAUCCAUCCCAUCUACAGACACCAAACCCAUACACUAUUGUUGAUGCCAAGAAGAGCUUGCUGACAGGAGCCUGGUAUGACUGGUCCUGAGAGGCUCUACCAGCAUCUGACCAAUACAGAUGCAGAUACAGCCAACCAUCGGAGUAAGCCCAGGGGCCUCCUAUGGAAGAGCUAGGGGAAGGACUGAAGGACCUGAAGGGAUCCUCCAAGCCAACUAGCCCAAAGUCUACUUGUGUGGGCCACAUUUAAUAUAAUCAGGUAUGUUACAGGAGCUGGGUGUGAUGGUACACACAGGAAGCAGAAGGAAGUGAAUCAAGUUUCUGGACCAUUCAUAACUACAAGUUUGACAUCAGCCCAGACUAAAGGAGACCUUAACAUUGUACUCAUGAGUGGUAAAUGAAAUUCACAAGAGAUAAAGACAUACAUACAUACAUACAUACAUACAUACAUACAUACAGACAGACAGACAGACAUGUACCCAGGAGGUAGGGAGAAAGGAAGGAAGAAGGAAAUGGAGGAAGGAAGAAUAAAAAUAUUAAAAUGGGGGCUGGGGAGAUGGCUCAGUGGUUUAGAGCACUGACUGCUCUUCCAGAGGUCCUGAGUUCAAUUCCAGCAACCACAUGGUGGCUCACAACCAUCUGUAAUGGGAUCCAAUGCCCUCUUCUGGUGUGUCUGAAGACAGCUAUAGUGUACCUACUCAUAUAAAUAAAAUAAAUCUUUAAAAAAUAUUAAAAUGGGGUCUGAUUUCACAAGGACUUUUGAGCUAAUAGGAUUUCAGUUGAAUAAAGCUGAAUUGGAGAUGAAUACCGAGUCCACCUAUUACUAUUUAAUAAUGAAAUAAAUAGAAACAUCUGCAUGUAACCACACCCCUCAUAUAUUUUUUUAAACAAAUAAGAAACAAAACAGGUCCCUUCAUUGUUAGCAUGGUCCUAGCACUCUGGAGGCCGAAACAAGAGGAUGGUGGACUUUGGGCCACUCUGGGCUACCGAACGAUAUCUUGUCUCAACAUGAGAAAGUACAGGAGAAAGAAAUAGAAAAAUAAGGGUUCUCUGAUUCCUUCUUUCAAAAUUUUGAGGUUCUCCAAGAUUUUUGUUGAGGAUGGUGGUUUCUUACCGGUAAGCACUUUACAAUGUUUCUUUUACUUUCCACAACAAUUCUUGAAGUUAGUACUUUUGUGCCCAUUUAUCAGAGGGCACUGAUAUAUCGUAUAGCCCUGAGUCUCACUAAUAUGCUAAUUUCAUACAGACAGAGGAGCUGAGCCAGACUUCAAUCCUAAGCAGUCUAAGGAGAGCUGGAGAGUUAAAUCCUGCUGUAGAUCGAAUCUUAACUAUCCCUGAAAGGUCCCCGUGCUUAGGACUUGGACAACAUGCUGGUACUGUUUGAAAGUGGUAAGACCUUUAGGAGGGGCCUAAUAAAAGGCAUUUAGGUCACUGGAGGUGUACGUGCAAGGGUUCUUGGGGUCUUAUUCCUUUCGUUAUAUAGUAAAGAAAUAUUUUAAAAAAUCCCAUUGUGGAUUUUCUUCCCUGCCUUCGACUAUUUAUGCUCCCGGAUGAAAGACACACACAGACUAAUACUUUUAAGUAUGUCUUAAGCAGCACAAUAACUGGGCAAUUGUCUACCCUCCAUGUUGUUACAAUCUAUUUUCCUAUUGAUAACAUCGAAUUAUUACUAUUUACUGUGUUUUAUCUGAGCUGUUCUUAGUUCUAAUUGGCCAGCCCACAUGGCCACGUUUUCUUUCCUCUUACCCCAUGGUGGCUUUCUCCCUUCAGUAUAUUCUAUUUUUAUCUUGUCGGGCCUUCCCCUGUUAUGUCUGAUCUACAUUACUUUGGAAGGGGUCCAGAGGCUAUGUGUGUGUGUCUUUCAUCCAUAAACAUAAGUGGUCUAAGGUGGGAAGAAACCCCACCCUAGGAUUUUUAAAAUAGUUUUUACGACAUCAUUCCAUUUCAUUCUUAUCUACUUUUUUCAUACUUAUCACUGCCUGGCAAAGAGAGCAAGUUUGCAAGUUUGCUUGCCUUAUGACCGUAUGAUAACUUGUCUGAUCACAGGUCCCAAAGUGAGCAGAGUCAACCGGUCACAGCUCAGAACUUGCUUGCGUGCGUGCGUGCGUGCGUGCGUGCGUGUGUGUGUGUGUGUGUGUGUGUGACUGUGUGUGUGUGUAUGACUCUGUGUGUGUGUGUAUGACUGUGUGUGUGGCUAUGUGUCUGUGUGUGUGUGUGUGUGCGUGUAUGGCUGUGUGUGUGGGGGGCUGUGUAUGUGUGUGUGUGUGUAUAUGGCUGUGUGUGUGUCUCUCUGUGUGUGUCUGUGUGUGUGUCUGGCUGUGUGUGUAUGACUGUGUGUGUGUGGCUGUGUGUGUGUAUAUGGCUCUGUGUGUGUGUGUGUAUGUGUGUGUAUGGCUCUGUGUGUGUCUGUGUGUGUGUCUGUGUGUGUGUAUGACUGUGUGUGUGGCUAUGUGUCUGUGUGUGUGUGUAUGUGU